AUUGAACGCUGGCGGCAGGCCUAACACAUGCAAGUCGAGCGGAUGAGUGGAGCUUGCUCCAUGAUUCAGCGGCGGACGGGUGAGUAAUGCCUAGGAAUCUGCCUGGUAGUGGGGGACAACGUUUCGAAAGGAACGCUAAUACCGCAUACGUCCUACGGGAGAAAGCAGGGGACCUUCGGGCCUUGCGCUAUCAGAUGAGCCUAGGUCGGAUUAGCUAGUAGGUGAGGUAAUGGCUCACCUAGGCGACGAUCCGUAACUGGUCUGAGAGGAUGAUCAGUCACACUGGAACUGAGACACGGUCCAGACUCCUACGGGAGGCAGCAGUGGGGAAUAUUGGACAAUGGGCGCAAGCCUGAUCCAGCAAUGCCGCGUGCAGGAUGAAGGCCUUCGGUUGUAAUGCUUUGUACGGUAACGAAACGGUAGAGCUCUAAUACAGUUUGC
Molecule: ribosomal RNA, 441 nt
Filed under: uncultured bacterium
Lineage: Bacteria
Description: bacterial SSU rRNA
Rfam family: Bacterial small subunit ribosomal RNA
Source: RNAcentral